UACGGGAGGCAGCAGUGGGGAAUAUUGGACAAUGGGCGAAAGCCUGAUCCAGCCAUGCCGCGUGUGUGAAGAAGGCCUUUUGGUUGUAAAGCACUUUAAGUGGGGAGGAAAGCUUAUGGUUAAUACCCAUAAGCCCUGACGUUACCCACAGAAUAAGCACCGGCUAACUCUGUGCCAGCAGCCGCGGUAAU
This 191-nucleotide ribosomal RNA is filed under the name uncultured Moraxella sp. RNAcentral's name for it is "partial 16S ribosomal RNA". It matches the Rfam family "Bacterial small subunit ribosomal RNA", at positions 340 to 524 of the family's 1533-position model. The record is from RNAcentral. Lineage: Bacteria; Pseudomonadati; Pseudomonadota; Gammaproteobacteria; Moraxellales; Moraxellaceae.